Molecule: long non-coding RNA, 397 nt
Organism: Culex pipiens pallens (northern house mosquito)
Lineage: Eukaryota; Metazoa; Arthropoda; Insecta; Diptera; Culicidae
Exons: 2
Source: RefSeq, a predicted model, not a curated record
GAAAAUAAUUGGCUCCUGCGAUCAACGAUCGGGAAAAUCUUUUGGGUGGCUGUCAAAUGAUUUGUGGCAAACCAGUACAACAGCAGCGAACCGAAAGUUGCUGCUAAUUUCCAUGGGGCGCUGCACGGGGCCAAUUAGGAGAGUGGUUUGGCCUGGCAAGGGCAGGUGUUGGGUUGACAAGAUCAUCGGCACUACCGGCCCUGAUGACCUCCACGCUGACCACGGAGAAAAAAGGAAAAUGCUGCCACGAUUCAGGGUCCCAUUCGACCGCCAAAAAGGAUGCACAUUGGAUUCACCCACCAGUGUGAAAAAAUGUUUUUGAAUUUUUCAAAAAUAAAUCUUGACUGGAAUGUUAAAAUAAAACAACCUAAAUUCAUCCAAUUUUGAAGACAAUAAA